Molecule: non-coding RNA, 405 nt
Organism: Sander lucioperca (pikeperch)
Lineage: Eukaryota; Metazoa; Chordata; Actinopteri; Perciformes; Percidae
Source: the annotation of a RefSeq genome assembly
UCAGAACUCACAUCUUGUCAGUUUCAACAUAAACCAUGUUCUCUGAAGCUCUGCUGCUGCUGUUGUUAGCUGGAUGUGUGAAGUGUGAGCAGUUGACCCAGCCAGCCUCUGUGACUGUGCAGCCAGGUCAACGUCUGACCAUCACCUGUCAGGUCUCUUAUUCUCUCAGCAGCUACUACACAGCUUGGAUCAGACAGCCUGCAGGGAAAGGACUGGAGUGGAUUGUAAGUGGACGUGUUGGAUCCACAACGUACUACAAAGAUUCACUGAAGAACAAGUUCAGUAUCAGCUUGGACUCUUCCAGCAACACAGUGACUCUAAAUGGACAGAAUGUGCAGCCUGAAGACACUGCUGUGUAUUACUGUGCCAGAGAGCCACAGUAACACAAACCAUCAGUAGACCUGA